GAUGAACGCUGGCGGCGUGCCUAAUACAUGCAAGUCGAGCGAACGGACGAGAAGCUUGCUUCUCUGAUGUUAGCGGCGGACGGGUGAGUAACACGUGGAUAACCUACCUAUAAGACUGGGAUAACUUCGGGAAACCGGAGCUAAUACCGGAUGAUAUUUUGAACCGUAUGGUUCAAAAGUGAAAGACGGUCUUGCUGUCACUUAUAGAUGGAUCCGCGCUGCAUUAGCUAGUUGGUAAGGUAACGGCUUACCAAGGCAACGAUGCAUAGCCGACCUGAGAGGGUGAUCGGCCACACUGGAACUGAGACACGGUCCGGACUCCUACGGGAGGCAGCAGUAGGGAAUCUUCCGCAAUGGGCGAAAGCCUGACGGAGCAACGCCGCGUGAGUGAUGAAGGUCUUCGGAUCGUAAAACUCUGUUAUUAGGGAAGAACAUAUGUGUAAGUAACUGUGCACAUCUUGACGGUACCUAAUCAGAAAGCCACGGCUAACUACGUG
Molecule: ribosomal RNA, 497 nt
Filed under: uncultured bacterium
Lineage: Bacteria
Description: partial 16S ribosomal RNA
Rfam family: Bacterial small subunit ribosomal RNA
Source: RNAcentral